GCCUGGGUGGCUCAGUCGGUUGAGCGUCCGACUUCAGCUCAGGUCAUGAUCUCACGGUUCGUGAGUUCGAGCCCCACGUCAGGCU
This is a transfer RNA of Felis catus (domestic cat), 85 nucleotides long. It matches the Rfam family "tRNA". From Rfam's summary of the family: Transfer RNA (tRNA) molecules are approximately 80 nucleotides in length. Their secondary structure includes four short double-helical elements and three loops (D, anti-codon, and T loops). Further hydrogen bonds mediate the characteristic L-shaped molecular structure. tRNAs have two regions of fundamental functional importance: the anti-codon, which is responsible for specific mRNA codon recognition, and the 3' end, to which the tRNAs corresponding amino acid is attached (by aminoacyl-tRNA synthetases). tRNAs cope with the degeneracy of the genetic code in two manners: having more than one tRNA (with a specific anti-codon) for a particular amino acid; and 'wobble' base-pairing, i.e. permitting non-standard base-pairing at the 3rd anti-codon position. NCBI's taxonomy places the organism in Eukaryota, Metazoa, Chordata, Mammalia, Carnivora, Felidae. The record is from Rfam.